RNAcentral lists this ribosomal RNA (468 nucleotides) under uncultured bacterium. Its description in RNAcentral is "partial 16S ribosomal RNA". It matches the Rfam family "Bacterial small subunit ribosomal RNA", at positions 28 to 507 of the family's 1533-position model. The record is from RNAcentral.
GAUGAACGCUGGCGGCGUGCUUAACACAUGCAAGUCGCACGGAAAGGCCCUGCUUUCGUGGGGUGCUCGAGUGGCGACGGGGUGCGUAACACGUGAGUAUCCUGCACUUGCCUUUGGGAUAACUUCAGGCCACUGGGGGUCAUACCGGAUAGGAGUUUCUGCUGCAUGGUGGGGGUUGGAAAGUUUGGGCGGUUGGGGAUGGACUCGCGGCUUAUCAGCUUGUUGGUGGGGUAGUGGCUUACCACGGCUUUGACGGGUAGCCGGCCUGAGAGGGUGACCGGCCACAGUGGGACUGUGAUACGGCCCGGAGUCGUACGGGAGGCAGCAGUGGGGAAGAUAGCAUGAUGGGCGGAAGCCGGAUGCAGCAACGCCGCGUGCGGGAUGGUGACCUUCGGUUUGGAGGCCACAAUGGCCUGUGACGAUGCGUUAUUGAAGGUAAUGGAUAAAGAAGCACCGGCUAACUACGUG